RNAcentral lists this ribosomal RNA (431 nucleotides) under uncultured bacterium. Its description in RNAcentral is "partial 16S ribosomal RNA". It matches the Rfam family "Bacterial small subunit ribosomal RNA", at positions 338 to 795 of the family's 1533-position model. The record is from RNAcentral.
CCUACGGGUGGCAGCAGUGGGGAAUAUUGCACAAUGGGCGCAAGCCUGAUGCAGCCAUGCCGCGUGUGUGAAGAAGGCCUUCGGGUUGUAAAGCACUUUCAGCGGGGAGGCGUUACCCGCAGAAGAAGCACCGGCUAACUCCGUGCCAGCAGCCGCGGUAAUACGGAGGGUGCAAGCGUUAAUCGGAAUUACUGGGCGUAAAGCGCACGCAGGCGGUCUGUCAAGUCGGAUGUGAAAUCCCCGGGCUCAACCUGGGAACUGCAUUCGAAACUGGCAGGCUAGAGUCUUGUAGAGGGGGGUAGAAUUCCAGGUGUAGCGGUGAAAUGCGUAGAGAUCUGGAGGAAUACCGGUGGCGAAGGCGGCCCCCUGGACAAGCUGACGCUCAGGUGCGAAAGCGUGGGGAGCAAACAGGAUUAGAUACCCUUGUAGUC